Pelobates cultripes (western spadefoot toad) is the source of this 496-nucleotide non-coding RNA. The record is from the annotation of a GenBank genome assembly. Lineage: Eukaryota; Metazoa; Chordata; Amphibia; Anura; Pelobatidae.
CUAAGCUUAUACGGGCCGCAGAUAGGUUUUUAGCGCGCACACUGACAGACAUACAGAUACAUACCCAGCCAGGAAGGCAUACAGACAGACAUACAAAUACACAACACACACUGACAGACAUACAGACAAACACACGCAUACACCGACAGACAUACAGAGACACACACUGACAUACAGACACACACAGAUAUACAAACACAGACAGACAUACAGAUACACAACACACACUGACAUACAGAUACACCCACUGACAGAGAUAUGGAUACACAAACACUGACAGACAUACAGAUACACAACACACACUGACAUACAGAUACACCCACUGACAGAGAUAUGGAUAUACAAACACAGACAGACAUACAGAUACACAACACACACUGACAUACAGAUACACCCACUGACAGAGAUAUGGAUACACAAACACUGACAGACAUACAGAUACACAACACACACUGACAUACAGAUACACCCACUGACAGAGAUAUGGAUACACAAA